UAACCUGAAAUCAGUUUGACACCGCG
RNAcentral lists this ribosomal RNA (26 nucleotides) under Gongronella sp. CCMI 1101. RNAcentral describes it as "partial 28S ribosomal RNA". Lineage: Eukaryota; Fungi; Mucoromycota; Mucoromycetes; Mucorales; Cunninghamellaceae. The record is from RNAcentral.